GAUGAACGCUGGCGGCGUGCCUAAUACAUGCAAGUCGAGCGAACGGACGAGAAGCUUGCUUCUCUGAUGUUAGCGGCGGACGGGUGAGUAACACGUGGAUAACCUACCUAUAAGACUGGGAUAACUGCGGGAAACCGGAGCUAAUACCGGAUAAUAUUUUGAACCGCAUGGUUCAAAAGUGAAAGACGGUCUUGCUGUCACUUAUAGAUGGAUCCGCGCUGCAUUAGCUAGUUGGUAAGGUAACGGCUUACCAAGGCAACGAUGCAUAGCCGACCUGAGAGGGUGAUAGGCCACACUGGAACUGAGCCACGGUCCAGACGCCUACGGGAGGCAGCAGUCGGGAACCGUCCGCAAUGGGGGAGAACCUGACGGAGCAACGCCACGUGAGUGAUAAAGGUCUUCGGAUCGUAAAACUCUGUUAUGAGGGAAGAACAUAUGUGUAAGUAACUGUGCACAUCUUGACGGUACCUAAUCAGAAAGCCACGGCUAACUACGUG
Molecule: ribosomal RNA, 497 nt
Filed under: uncultured bacterium
Lineage: Bacteria
Description: partial 16S ribosomal RNA
Rfam family: Bacterial small subunit ribosomal RNA
Source: RNAcentral